GACGAACGCUGGCGGCGUGCUUAACACAUGCAAGUCGAACGGUAAGGCCUUCGGGUACACGAGUGGCGAACGGGUGAGUAACACGUGGGUGAUCUGCCCUGCACUUUGGGAUAAGCCUGGGAAACUGGGUCUAAUACCGAAUAUACCUUUCCUGCUGCAUGGUGGGUGGGGGAAAGCUUUUGCGGUGUGGGAUGGGCCCGCGGCCUAUCAGCUUGUUGGUGAGGUUACGGCUCACCAAGGCGACGACGGGUAGCCGGCCUGAGAGGGUGUCCGGCCACACUGGGACUGAGAUACGGCCCAGACUCCUACGGGAGGCAGCAGUGGGGAAUAUUGCACAAUGGGCGCAAGCCUGAUGCAGCGACGCCGCGUGAGGGAUGACGGCCUUCGGGUUGUAAACCUCUUUCAGUACAGACGAAGCGUGAGUGACGGUAUGUACAGAAGAAGCACCGGCCAACUACGUGCCAGCCGCCGCCGUAACAC
Molecule: ribosomal RNA, 480 nt
Filed under: uncultured bacterium
Lineage: Bacteria
Description: bacterial SSU rRNA
Rfam family: Bacterial small subunit ribosomal RNA
Source: RNAcentral